This is a long non-coding RNA of Lutra lutra (Eurasian river otter), 250 nucleotides long. RefSeq lists it as uncharacterized. The transcript has 3 exons. Lineage: Eukaryota; Metazoa; Chordata; Mammalia; Carnivora; Mustelidae. The record is from RefSeq and is a predicted model, not a curated record.
AGGCCUCCUGAAGGUCCAAACCUCACAGCCUUUCCUGAGUCUGUGCACCAGGAUCCUGGGUUGGCAAGAGGCCAUUUGAGGAGAGGACAAGUUUGGAUUAGGAACAUCUGACCAACAGCAGAAAAAGUCCUAUCAGCACUGUGUGUUGGUGCUAUGCUGAGCAGCCUUGACCAUGUUUUGACAGAGAGCUGUCCCAUGGCACAACUGAAAGUUUGAUGACCAAACCCUUCCCCUCUGCAUGAGUAAGGUG